GUGUGUGUGUGUGUGUGUGUGUGUGUGUGUGUGUGUGUGUUCGUGUGUGUGUGUGUGUGUGUGUGUGUUAGCAUCAAAUAUUAAUAGACUUGUGUUUUUCAGGCUUGUCACACUAACCUGGAACACUUGUCUGUGCAGGACUGGAGGGAGGGAAACAUCAGGACAUGUUUGUGUGUGUGUGUGUGUGUGUGUGUGUGUGUGUGUAUGUGUAUGUAUAGAGCGAAGCAGGAUCACGUGUAACAUUCCUCAGCUUUUUCGGACACAUGUCGGCAUCCAGGCAUCACGCCGCUCUCACUUGAGUAGAUGCAGAACAAGCAAUCAUUGAAAACGUAACACUCAAAAAGUCACACUCACACAUAUACAGGAUUUCCUGCGCUUUGAUUUUGUCUUUGAACCUUUCUUUCAAACGAGUCUCGCUAUUCUACUGAUUUUUAAUGUGUUCAUUAAACUAUACUGUGUUGUCUAGUCCAUGGAAGUAUGAGGGGACACUGUGUAGGGAGGGGUUAAAAAUGUAGGGGUGGGGCUUAUGCUUAUGAAUGUGAUUCUGAUGAAACAAUGCUUGACUUUUUCUUCUUUAGUUCUCUUUUUCUUUUGUAUUCACUUGGGGCUGAAGGGGGGGGGGGGGGAUUUUCCAUGUCAUUUGCACACUUGUUCAUUGGCUUAAUAAAGGCACUCACUAGGUGUUGUUUGUUAAUAAAAAGCACCGGGCAGGAGCUCGCCUGUCAGUCACCUUCUGUCUUUUUCUGUUUUGCUUGUUCACUUUGGUGCUGUCUCCCUGCUGAGUUUGAUCAUGUUUUUUUUCUGUACAUAUUAUAAAUAUAUAUAUAAUAAAAUGAUGAAAAAGAUCGUCAA
Molecule: long non-coding RNA, 852 nt
Organism: Scomber scombrus (Atlantic mackerel)
Lineage: Eukaryota; Metazoa; Chordata; Actinopteri; Scombriformes; Scombridae
Exons: 2
Source: RefSeq, a predicted model, not a curated record